Molecule: ribosomal RNA, 492 nt
Filed under: uncultured bacterium
Lineage: Bacteria
Description: partial 16S ribosomal RNA
Rfam family: Bacterial small subunit ribosomal RNA
Source: RNAcentral
AUUGAACGCUGGCGGCAUGCUUUACACAUGCAAGUCGAACGGUAACAGGCCUUCGGGUGCUGACGAGUGGCGAACGGGUGAGUAAUGCAUCGGAACGUGCCCAGAGGUGGGGGAUAACGCAGCGAAAGCUGUGCUAAUACCGCAUGUGAUCUGAGGAUGAAAGCGGGGGACCAAGCAGCAAUGUUUGGCCUCGCGCCUCUGGAUCGGCCGAUGUCCGAUUAGGUAGUUGGUGGGGUAAAGGCCUACCAAGCCGACGAUCUGUAGCUGGUCUGAGAGGACGACCAGCCACACUGGGACUGAGACACGGCCCAGACUCCUACGGGAGGCAGAAGUGGGGAAUUUUGGACAAUGGGCGAAAGCCUGAUCCAGCAAUGCCGCGUGCGGGAAGAAGGCCUUCGGGUUGUAAACCGCUUUUGUACGGAACGAAAAGGCUCUGGCUAAUACCUGGGGCUGAUGACGGUACCGUAAGAAUAAGCACCGGCUAACUACGUG